Molecule: ribosomal RNA, 229 nt
Filed under: uncultured bacterium
Lineage: Bacteria
Description: partial 16S ribosomal RNA
Rfam family: Bacterial small subunit ribosomal RNA
Source: RNAcentral
AACGUAGGUGGCGAGCGUUAUCCGGAUUUACUGGGCGUAAGCGUGUGCAGGCGGGGGUCCAAGUGGUGUAUGAAAGUCGCCCGGCUUAACCGGGCGGGGUUAUGCCAGACUGGACUUCUGGAGUGCGAGAGAGGGGCGUGGAAUUCCGGGUGUAGUGGUGAAAUGCGUAGAGAUCCGGAGGAACCCAGAGGCGAAGGCGGCGCCCCUGGCUCGCAACUGACGCUCAGAC